CACACACACACACACACACCCUGAAAGGGCUUUCCUUGUCUUAAGCCUCUGUGUAUGAAACACUCUGGAACCCACCGGCCUAGGUGUUAGAACAGCACCGAAGUUGCCAGGGCCAGGGGUCCAGCCAUCCUGACCUCUGCUAGCCACCCUGCAAGGGCCGAUGUUCCCACGCAGGAGGCCCCAGGGAGGUGGUACUGAGCAACCGGCCACACCCAAGGAAACAGCUCAGAGCUCAACUUCCUCCUGAAUUAGGCCACACCCGAGGCCUCCCGGGUCUCAUCCACGCCUCUGGGUCCAUCACUAAACAGAAGGCACAAUCCCACUAACUCUUACUCCAUCGCUGCUCAUGAAACUCCUGCCAGUAAGGACUGGGUCAAGCACCUGAAAACCAGAGCUCGUCCGUGGCUUCACUUGUUUUGGACUAAGGAGCUGAGGAGCGUGCAAGACUGUACUUGGAGAAUCUGUUUCUUGCUGCCAUUUCGUCACUGAACACUAUUUUUUUUCUCCUUCUUUUUUUGUAAGAAAAGGAGAACACAUAAAACCCCACCAGAACAAACUCCACUCGGCCCUGAAAGUAUUUACAAUCACGGCCCUGAAAGUACUGAAAGUAUUUACAAUCACGUUACAGUUCAUUCACUGCUGCAGAACCUCUCUCCAGCGAUCAAGGUCGAAGGGAGCCGACGUCGCCCUCUAUCGGCUCCCUGCUGCACUAGAAGGAUCGGGAAGAUGGAGGCUCCUGAAGAGCUGUAGAAGCGCAUCCUAGGCAGAAGCCCAGCAGACAGCAAAGGGCCUGGUUUGUUCAAGGAACUGGAGGGCAAGAAAAUCAGGAGCCAAUUCAUGCAGGGCACAGUUAGCCAAGCCGGACUCACUCAGGAGGCCCUUCAUCUUCAUGUUCCCCACAUAGCAGAGGGGAGGGCAGAAGAUGAGAGGGAGGAGAGAGCAGAGCCAAGAGCCUCCUUUUCUCCCACUGUGCCCCUCCUAUGUGUGGCUCUGGACACCAGGAACCACCCAAGGACAGUGGGACUCCUCGAAAAGAUAAUUGCUCAUGAGGGAUCCAAGAGCAAGGCUUGUUACAUCCUAUAACCUUCACACAAAAUAUUGACUGAGAAUCCUCCAUGUGCCAAGUACUGUUCAAAAACACUGGGAACCCAGCAGGGAUGAGCCACAAGUUUCCUUGUCUUUACGAAGCUUUCAUUCUGAGGGAGUGGAGAGAGACAAGCAAUAAACAACCAAUCAAAACAAAGAUGACUCCUCUGAGUGUUGUGAUAUGCGGGUCAAGGAGGAUGGCUCCCAGGAUGUGACCUCAGAGCAGAAGCCUGGAGGCUUGCCAGCAGCGGGAAGAGCAGCGGCAGGGCACUGCAGGCAGAGGUGACCAAAAGCGUGAAACCUUGAGCUGGGAAGCACGUGGUCUGCUGGAAAGUGGGCUGAUGUAUUUGAAGAGAGCAAGGAGCAGAAUGGUACAAUGGGGUGAUGGGGGAAGAGCCAGGCAGAGCCCAGUGCUGCAAAGCCCGGUAGCACAUACAUGUGUAACGUACCUUGAAGCAAAUGAAUGGCCUGAUCUGGUUUCUGUUUUGGCUGCUCUGUGGUGAUGUGGUGCCUGGGAGGCAAAGAAGCUGGGAAAGAAGCGGUUUUUCUCUUCUAGGUACUUUAAAGCUCUAUAAUAUAUGCUCAGGUGAAAUUUGGCUGGUAUUUUCAGGGACUUCACUGCUUUUGUGCCAUACUGGCCUCAUCAUGUAGAUAACAUCACGG
RNAcentral lists this long non-coding RNA (1749 nucleotides) under Homo sapiens (human). RNAcentral's name for it is "HSALNT0041287". Lineage: Eukaryota; Metazoa; Chordata; Mammalia; Primates; Hominidae. The record is from RNAcentral.